RNAcentral lists this ribosomal RNA (162 nucleotides) under uncultured bacterium. Its description in RNAcentral is "partial 16S rRNA". It matches the Rfam family "Bacterial small subunit ribosomal RNA", at positions 358 to 511 of the family's 1533-position model. The record is from RNAcentral.
GGAAUCUUCGGCAAUGGACGCAAGUCUGAUGGAGCAACGCCGCGUGAGUGAAGAAGGUUUUCGGAUCGUAAAGCUCUGUUGUAAGAGAAGAACGUGUGUGAGAGUGGAAAGUUCACACAGUGACGGUAACUUACCAGAAAGGGACGGCUAACUACGUGCCAG